GAGUAAAUGGCGAAAUUGGUAAACGCAUCACACUCAAAAUGUGACGAAAAUUUUCUUAAGGGUUCAAUUCCCUUUUUACUCA
Molecule: transfer RNA, 82 nt
Filed under: Synura petersenii
Lineage: Eukaryota; Synurophyceae; Synurales; Mallomonadaceae
Description: tRNA-Leu
Rfam family: tRNA
About the family: Transfer RNA (tRNA) molecules are approximately 80 nucleotides in length. Their secondary structure includes four short double-helical elements and three loops (D, anti-codon, and T loops). Further hydrogen bonds mediate the characteristic L-shaped molecular structure. tRNAs have two regions of fundamental functional importance: the anti-codon, which is responsible for specific mRNA codon recognition, and the 3' end, to which the tRNAs corresponding amino acid is attached (by aminoacyl-tRNA synthetases). tRNAs cope with the degeneracy of the genetic code in two manners: having more than one tRNA (with a specific anti-codon) for a particular amino acid; and 'wobble' base-pairing, i.e. permitting non-standard base-pairing at the 3rd anti-codon position.
Source: RNAcentral